This 2629-nucleotide long non-coding RNA is filed under the name Ficedula albicollis (Collared flycatcher). Its description in RNAcentral is "lncRNA (ENSFALG00000024411.1)". Lineage: Eukaryota; Metazoa; Chordata; Aves; Passeriformes; Muscicapidae. The record is from RNAcentral.
AUGGGCAGCAGAGCAGGGGGUGGGAGAAAUGGGAUGAAACCUGGGCAGGCAACGAGGAGCCGGAGGCGCCAGUGGGAGGAAUGCCCUGGGCCCCCCAACUGUGCCGGGGGACCCCCUGAGCCCUGCACCCCAGCCCCCUGCGAGCGGCUCCUGGCGCGUCCCAGGGGCUCCCCACGCCCCCCUGACCUGGAUCCAUCCCUUUCUCUGCAGCGGGGGCCGCCAGGAGAGCCCGGCCCUCGAGGGCCCCCCGGUCCCCCCGGAGUGCCUGGAGCUGAUGGCAUCGAUGGUGACAAAGGCCCCGCUGGAGCCCCCGGUACCCCGGUGAGUACCCAGCCCUCCCUGACCCCACAUCCAGAGGGGCUCAUCCCAAACCUGACCCCACUCAUCCCAAACCUGACCCCGCUCAUCCCAAACCUGACCCCGCUCAUCCCAAACCUGACCCCGCUCAUCCCAAACCUGACCCCACUCAUCCCAAACCUGACCCCGCUCAUCCCAAACCUGACCCCACUCAUCCCAAACCUGACCCCGCUCAUCCCAAACCUGACCCCACUCAUCCCAAACCUGACCCCGCUCAUCCCAAACCUGACCCCACUCAUCCCAAACCUGACCCCGCUCAUCCCAAACCUGACCCCACUCAUCCCAAACCUGACCCCGCUCAUCCCAAACCUGACCCCACUCAUCCCAAACCUGACCCCGCUCAUCCCAAACCUGACCCCACUCAUCCCAAACCUGACCCCGCUCAUCCCAAACCUGACCCCACUCAUCCCAAACCUGACCCCGCUCAUCCCAAACCUGACCCCACUCAUCCCAAACCUGACCCCGCUCAUCCCAAACCUGACCCCACUCAUCCCAAACCUGACCCCGCUCAUCCCAAACCUGACCCCACUCAUCCCAAACCUGACCCCGCUCAUCCCAAACCUGACCCCACUCAUCCCAAACCUGACCCCGCUCAUCCCAAACCUGACCCCACUCAUCCCAAACCUGACCCCGCUCAUCCCAAACCUGACCCCACUCAUCCCAAACCUGACCCCGCUCAUCCCAAACCUGACCCCACUCAUCCCAAACCUGACCCCGCUCAUCCCAAACCUGACCCCACUCAUCCCAAACCUGACCCCGCUCAUCCCAAACCUGACCCCACUCAUCCCAAACCUGACCCCGCUCAUCCCAAACCUGACCCCACUCAUCCCAAACCUGACCCCGCUCAUCCCAAACCUGACCCCACUCAUCCCAAACCUGACCCCGCUCAUCCCAAACCUGACCCCACUCAUCCCAAACCUGACCCCGCUCAUCCCAAACCUGACCCCACUCAUCCCAAACCUGACCCCGCUCAUCCCAAACCUGACCCCACUCAUCCCAAACCUGACCCCGCUCAUCCCAAACCUGACCCCACUCAUCCCAAACCUGACCCCGCUCAUCCCAAACCUGACCCCACUCAUCCCAAACCUGACCCCGCUCAUCCCAAACCUGACCCCACUCAUCCCAAACCUGACCCCGCUCAUCCCAAACCUGACCCCACUCAUCCCAAACCUGACCCCGCUCAUCCCAAACCCGAUCCCACUCAUCCCAAACCUGACCCCACUCCUUCCAGAGGGGCUCAUCCCACCCUGAUCCCAACUUUCUCCUUCCCAGGGUGUCAAGGGCGAGCCUGGAGCCCCUGGUCUGGAUGGGCCCCCGGGGAAGCCGGGCAUUGAUGUGAGAACUGACUCCUGGCCCCUCGGGGUGCCCCUGCCCUGGGGUCACAGCAAACUCCUCCUGUCCCACACAAAAUCAUCCCCAAACCCCUCUGUGCAGGAGCUGAAAGCACCUUGGGAAUCCCAAAUGGGCUUGGGAAGAGUUUUUGCCACCCUUUUCCACUUUUGGGAUCCCAGCAGAGCUCAGGGAGAGCUUCUGCCAUCCCUUCCCACCUUGGGAAUUCCCAGCAGAGCUUUUUCCAUCCCUUCCCACCUUGGGAAUCCCAAAAGAGUUUGGGAAUUGCUUCUUCCAUGGGGGGGGGGGGGGGGGGGGGGGGGGGGGGGGGGGGGGGGGGGGGGGGGGGGGGGGGGGGGGGGGGGGGGGGGGGGGGGGGGGGGGGGGGGGGCCACCUUGGGAAUCCCAAGGGUUCUUUCUCCCCUUCCCACCUUGGGAAUCCCAAAAGAGUUUGGGAAUUGCUUCUUUCUCCCCUUCCCACCUUGGGAAUCCCAAAGGAGUUCGGUUUUGGGGUGGGUUCCUGCCCCAUCCCAGGGAUAAAACCGGGAUCAGGGAUGGGUGGAGCUCCCCACGUGUCCCUCCAGGGCUGGCUGUGCCCAGGGUGAGGGUCCCAGUGCCAUGAAAUUCCAGCCUUGGCCCCUCCUGAGGGGUUUGACCCAGCACAAAUCCCUGGCUGGGGAGCAGGAGGGGUGGGAAUAACCCUGGGUCUGUUCCUUGCAGGGCCUGACGGGAGCCAAAGGGGAGCCAGGAGCCAUUGGCAGGCCAGGAGUUAAAGUGAGUGAGGGGCAGCCCUGGGCUCCCUCAUUCCCGGGAUCCCACAUCCCCAAAUUCCCACAUCCCCAAAUUCCCACAUCCCCAAAUUCCCACCUUCCCAGAAUCCCACCUUCCCAGGAUCCCACCUUCCCAAAUUUCCACCAUCCCAAUUUCCCACAUUCCCAAUUUC